This 653-nucleotide ribosomal RNA is filed under the name Vibrio parahaemolyticus. RNAcentral's name for it is "partial 16S ribosomal RNA". The record is from RNAcentral. Lineage: Bacteria; Pseudomonadati; Pseudomonadota; Gammaproteobacteria; Vibrionales; Vibrionaceae.
CGGGAACGUAUUCACCGUGGCAUUCUGAUCUACGAUUACUAGCGAUUCCGACUUCAUGGAGUCGAGUUGCAGACUCCAAUCCGGACUACGACGCACUUUUUGGGAUUCGCUCACUUUCGCAAGUUGGCUGCCCUCUGUAUGCGCCAUUGUAGCACGUGUGUAGCCCUACUCGUAAGGGCCAUGAUGACUUGACGUCGUCCCCACCUUCCUCCGGUUUAUCACCGGCAGUCUCCCUGGAGUUCCCGACAUUACUCGCUGGCAAACAAGGAUAAGGGUUGCGCUCGUUGCGGGACUUAACCCAACAUUUCACAACACGAGCUGACGACAGCCAUGCAGCACCUGUCUCAGAGUUCCCGAAGGCACCAAUCCAUCUCUGGAAAGUUCUCUGGAUGUCAAGAGUAGGUAAGGUUCUUCGCGUUGCAUCGAAUUAAACCACAUGCUCCACCGCUUGUGCGGGCCCCCGUCAAUUCAUUUGAGUUUUAAUCUUGCGACCGUACUCCCCAGGCGGUCUACUUAACGCGUUAGCUCCGAAAGCCACGGCUCAAGGCCACAACCUCCAAGUAGACAUCGUUUACGGCGUGGACUACCAGGGGUAUCUAAUCCUGUUUGCUCCCCACGCUUUCGCAUCUGAGUGUCAGUAUCUGUCCAGGGGG